This is a small nucleolar RNA of Loxodonta africana (African savanna elephant), 129 nucleotides long. The record is from Ensembl. NCBI's taxonomy places the organism in Eukaryota, Metazoa, Chordata, Mammalia, Proboscidea, Elephantidae.
UAGCACUGUUCGUAACCUGUUAACAGACUUUUACUGGUGAUGGGUUCCAUUCCAGUGCCACAGAAAUUCCCAGAGUAAUACAGGAUGGACACGACUUGGUCAAUCUGAUUUUACACUUGGGAGACAAGU